Molecule: unclassified non-coding RNA, 3377 nt
Filed under: Hevea brasiliensis (rubber tree)
Lineage: Eukaryota; Viridiplantae; Streptophyta; Magnoliopsida; Malpighiales; Euphorbiaceae
Source: RNAcentral
CUUCUUCUUCUUCUUCUUCUCCGAUGGCGUCUAUCGCCGCGCCACCCAAUUUCUGUCUCUCUCAGAUCACUUGCAAAACUCGACCUCUCUCUCCCUCUCUUCUCGACUUCAACACUAGAACUUCCCAUUCCUCUCCAAAUCCUUGCUUUUCCUCCUACUCUUCCAAUCCCCUCAUCAAGACCAUCAUUUCCUGCUCCCAAUCUUCCUCUGCAGCCCCAUCUCCUGCCGCCCCUCCUCGCCGCCGCCGCCCUCAGUACAUUCCCAACCACAUCCCCGACCCUUCCUAUGUCCGUAUCUUCGACACCACUCUCCGCGACGGCGAGCAGUCCCCUGGCGCCACCCUCACCUCCAAGGAAAAGCUCGACGUUGCUCGCCAGUUGUCGAAGCUCGGCGUUGACAUAAUUGAGGCUGGAUUCCCUGCUGCCUCCAAGGAUGAUUUUGAGGCCGUGAAAACAAUUGCUAAGCAAGUGGGAAAUGCCGUCGAUGAGGAUGGUUAUGUGCCGGUUAUUUGUGGAUUAUCGAGGUGUAAUGAGAAGGACAUUAGGACUGCGUGGGAGGCUGUGAAAUACGCCAAGAGGCCGAGGAUUCACACUUUUAUUGCCACAAGUGCGAUCCAUAUGCAGUACAAGUUGAGGAAGAGUAAACAGGAGGUGUUGGAGAUUGCCACGAAUAUGGUUAGAUUCGCCAGGAGUUUGGGGUGUGAUGAUGUAGAGUUUAGCCCAGAGGAUGCUGGCAGAUCUGACAGAGAGUUCUUGUAUCAGAUCUUGGGUGAAGUUAUCAAGGCUGGUGCAACAACUCUGAACAUACCUGAUACUGUUGGGAUAACAUUGCCUAGUGAAUUUGGACGGUUAAUAGCUGACAUAAAAGCCAAUACCCCUGGAAUAGAAAAUGUCAUCAUUUCAACACACUGCCAAAAUGAUCUAGGACUUUCUACAGCUAAUACUUUAGCAGGAGCACAUGCAGGUGCCAGACAACUUGAAGUAACAGUCAAUGGCAUUGGUGAAAGAGCUGGAAAUGCUUCAUUGGAGGAGGUUGUUAUGGCCAUAAAAUGUCGUGGAGAGCAUGUUUUAGGAGGUCUUUAUACUGGAAUCAAUCCCAAACACAUUACUAUGGCAAGCAAGAUGGUAGAAGAAUACACUGGUUUGCAGUUGCAGCCACACAAGGCUAUCGUUGGAGCUAAUGCUUUUGCUCAUGAAAGUGGCAUACAUCAGGAUGGAAUGCUAAAACAUAAAGGUACAUAUGAGAUUAUAUCUCCUGAAGAUAUUGGGCUUGAACGUUCCAAUGAUGCAGGGAUUGUCCUUGGAAAACUCAGGUAUUAGUCUUUUUUGUUGUUAUGAUCAAUUUAUUGUCUUGUUAUGUUAAUUUCUUAUGCAUUUCUUGUAGUGACAAAAUUUGGAUUGAAUUGAUUGCAAAUAAACAUUUAUUACUCUGAUUGCUUAUAGAUCAAGUUAUCAGAAUGGACUGAAGUUGAACUUUAUGAGGGAUGCUGGUAGAUAUUUAGCAAGAUUGAAAUCUCAUUUUGGAUUAGCUAACUAUGAAGUAUGGUCUACUGAUAAUAUUGAAAAGGGGAAAGAAGAACUGUAGUUCCUUGGCUGUGUGGAUUGUACAAUGUACCUUCCUAAGCUAGUACAUCACUUAUAGAAUUUUGUAUUUGGUUCUCUAAGUGCUUGAACAGUAGCUGCCAGCCUUUUAAUAUCUGGUCCUAGAUUGUCUAUAGUAUGAAUGGUGAUCUUGUUAGAGGUAAUUGGAGCACCUUUCAGUGCAAGUUCAUUUAUAGUAGCUUUGAUUGAUUGAAGGGACUCUUGGACAGGCUAAAUUUCUCAUGGAAUGGUGGCUAUAGUUCAAUGAGACAUGAGUAGAAAAUCAUGUGAGUUCAUUUGGUAUUAACUCUUUAUCAUUUGUUAGGGGAAUAGGUUUUCCAAAGCAAUUAUUUGUGGUGCAUCAACAGAUUAAUGAGCUUCCGAGUUAGCUGAUUUGUAUGCAUAUAAAUGAGGAAUAAAUGAUAUCUACCAGUUCAGAGAAGGAGAUACAUAUCUUUUCUUGGUAGCAUGUUGCUGUACUUAAUUUUAUGUUUAAUUAUCAUAGAUGUUAUUACUGAUAUUUAGUGGCAUUCCAUCAAUUUUCUCUAGCAUCCACAAUCAAUUUAAAUUUUUUUUCUUUUUUGCCCCCUAUGACUUUUUAUGGUAAAGUGGCCGCCAUGCUUUGAAAGAUCGACUAAAAGAGGUAUGAAGAUGCAAACAUUUGAAAGUUGAUUAAUUGCCUGCUUCUUUGUUAUGUGCUUUAUCCAUUUCCUAUUCUUGCUUCUUUCAGCUUGGUUAUGAAUUGAAUGAUGAGCAACUUGGCAAUAUCUUUUGGAGUUUCAAGGCAGUAGCUGAACAAAAAAAGAGAGUCACUGAUGCGGACCUGAUAGCAUUGGUGUCAGAUGAAGUUUUUCAGCCUGAAAUUGUGUGGAAGCUUAGUGAUCUGCAGGUUACUUGUGGAACACUUGGUCUCUCUACUGCAACUGUUAAACUCAUUGAUGCUAAUGGCAAAGAGCACAUUGCAUGCUCCAUUGGAUCUGGGCCAGUAGAUGCAGGAUACAAGGCUGUCGAUCUCAUUGUGAAGGAACCAGUUGAACUUCUUGAAUACUCCAUGAAUGCUGCUACAGAAGGCAUAGAUGCGAUAGCCACUACCCGUGUUGUAAUUCGUGGAGAGAACCUUCACACCACUAAUGCUAUAACAGGCGAACCACUUCUACGUUCAUUUAGGUAUAGUACCUACUUUAUUUUGCUUCAAGUUAGCAUAUAGUAUCUACUUUUAAUUUCUACUUUCAGCGAUUUUUUUUUUUAUUUUUUAUGGAUGCUAGUGGAUCCGGGGUCGGAAUGGAUAUUGUUGUUUCCAGUGUGAAGGCCUACAUUGGUGCAUUGAAUAAGAUGUUAGCUUUUAAGCAGCAGUUGCCAACGACAAGGGUUUCUACGGAUAGGACCCCUGUAUCUGCAUGAAAUUUUGGAACACCCAGCGUAGUGCAUGUCAAUUUGCCUUAAUGAUUUUUAGACAUAGAGAGUAGAGGUGCUAUUAUGUAAAAGGGCUGAAAAAGACAAUUUGUCUACAAUACUUACAUUUUAAUCCUGUUUUGGCUGUAGUUUUUGAAGAACUUAUUUUGGUUUGAGAAUGCGUGGAUUGAAUGACAGCUUGAGUUUUGCGUCAAUACUCUAUUCUUGUGUUGGAAUUCUUACCAAAUUUCAGCUGUAAGGUGGCAUAUGAGUAGGAAUGUCAAUAGAUAGAGUACUUGUGAAAUUCAAGGUGCUUGAAUUUGAAUUGUUUAUGUUAUGUUUGGUUACCAAAAUUUAGAGUUAGAGAUGUGAACCUAAUUUGAGUAUAGAUUAUUGAUAUAUGGG